Molecule: ribosomal RNA, 529 nt
Filed under: uncultured bacterium
Lineage: Bacteria
Description: bacterial SSU rRNA
Rfam family: Bacterial small subunit ribosomal RNA
Source: RNAcentral
AAUAGAUACCCGGGUAGUCCACGCCGUAAACGGUGGGCACUAGAUGUGGGGCUCUUUCCAUGAGUUCCGCGUCGCAGCUAACGCAUUAAGUGCCCCGCCUGGGGAGUACGGCCGCAAGGCUAAAACUCAAAGGAAUUGACGGGGGCCCGCACAAGCGGCGGAGCAUGCGGAUUAAUUCGAUGCAACGCGAAGAACCUUACCAAGGCUUGACAUAUACGGUCUAUCCCUAGAGAUAGGGAGUGCUUCGGCGCCGUAUACAGGUGGUGCAUGGUUGUCGUCAGCUCGUGUCGUGAGAUGUUGGGUUAAGUCCCGCAACGAGCGCAACCCUCGUUCUAUGUUGCCAGCACGUAAUGGUGGGACUCAUAGGAGACUGCCGGGGUCAACUCGGAGGAAGGUGGGGAUGACGUCAAAUCAUCAUGCCCCUUAUGUCUUGGGCUUCACGCAUGCUACAAUGGCCGGUACAAAGGGCUGCAAUCCGUAAGGUGGAGCGAAUCCCAAAAAGCCGGUCUCAGUUCGGAUUAAGGUCUGC